GGUUUCCUAGUGUAAUGGUUAUCACAGCGGAUUUUGAUUCCGCUAAUCUGGGUUCGAUUCCCAGGGAGACCU
Molecule: non-coding RNA, 72 nt
Organism: Xylaria sp. FL1042
Lineage: Eukaryota; Fungi; Ascomycota; Sordariomycetes; Xylariales; Xylariaceae
Source: the annotation of a GenBank genome assembly